AGUGAACGCUGGCGGUAGGCCUAACACAUGCAAGUCGAACGGCAGCACAGUAAGAGCUUGCUCUUACGGGUGGCGAGUGGCGGACGGGUGAGGAAUACAUCGGAAUCUACUUUUUCGUGGGGGAUAACGUAGGGAAACUUACGCUAAUACCGCAUACGACCUACGGGUGAAAGCAGGGGAUCUUCGGACCUUGCGCGAUUGAAUGAGCCGAUGUCGGAUUAGCUAGUUGGCGGGGUAAAAGCCCACCAAGGCGACGAUCCGUAGCUGGUCUGAGAGGAUGAUCAGCCACACUGGAACUGAGACACGGUCCAGACUCCUACGGGAGGCAGCAGUGGGGAAUAUUGGACAAUGGGCGCAAGCCUGAUCCAGCCAUACCGUGUGGGUGAAGAAGGCCUUCGGGUUGUAAAGCCCUUUUGUUGGGAAAGAAAAGCAGCAGGUUAAUACCCCGCUGUUCUGACGGUACCCAAAGAAUAAGCACCGGCUAACUUCGUG
This 492-nucleotide ribosomal RNA is filed under the name uncultured bacterium. Its description in RNAcentral is "partial 16S ribosomal RNA". It matches the Rfam family "Bacterial small subunit ribosomal RNA", at positions 29 to 507 of the family's 1533-position model. The record is from RNAcentral.